This 216-nucleotide long non-coding RNA is filed under the name Elaeis guineensis (African oil palm). RNAcentral's name for it is "long non-coding RNA (EGUI_LNC015096)". Lineage: Eukaryota; Viridiplantae; Streptophyta; Magnoliopsida; Arecales; Arecaceae. The record is from RNAcentral.
GGGGUUGGGCCCAAUAUGUAUUAUCUAAGAGACUCAAUGAUGGCUUCACACCUGUUUGUGAAUGGUGGGUCUGAUUUAACUAAUAAGUAGGGCAAUAUGUAUUAUCUAAGCUCACAUGACUUAGAGAUUAAGUUGCUGUAAUAUGCUUAGAGAAACAUCUGAACUAAGAGUUGCUUACGCAUCAGUGUACAUAUCACGAAUAACUGUUAGAUGAGG